Molecule: ribosomal RNA, 126 nt
Filed under: Onchocerca volvulus
Lineage: Eukaryota; Metazoa; Nematoda; Chromadorea; Rhabditida; Onchocercidae
Description: partial ribosomal RNA
Rfam family: Eukaryotic large subunit ribosomal RNA
Source: RNAcentral
NUUGACCUCAGCUCAGUCGUGAUUACCCGCUGAAUUUAAGCAUAUAACUAAGCGGAGGAAAAGAAACUAACGAGGAUUUCCUUAGUAACGGCGAGUGAAAAGGAAAAAGCCCAACGCUGAAUCCAA